GGUAGGGUGAAACAGCACCACUGUCCCGCCCAAUCCCCACUGUUAUUGUUUUUGUUGACGAAGCGGAGCCGAGGAGCGUCGCGCAAUGUGGUAUGCAGUGCACUCCUCCCUCAUCACGGCUCUCUAGUGUUCCCUCUCCCAGUCAGAACAACCCAGACGGGCUCUACUCCUCUUAUCAGAUGGAGCCAGGCAGGCAGGACAGGACGGGGCCAGUGUGGAUCCAGCUGCUCCCAGGAGCAGGGCGCAGUCCCACUUAAUAGGUCUUCCCGGCAUCCCAGGCCUCGCCCCACUGGCAUCCCAGUCACAGCCAGGCAGGCUACUCCGUGGGUGGCACGCCUUGGAAACAGGCGGCAGAGACAGAGGAGGUGGGUACGGGGGAGACUGGUAAAGACAACCCAGUCCGCCUGGUGUUCCAGAGAACUUUGCCGUUAGACCAAUUGCUUCCCGAGGACCAGUAAAAAGCAAUGGCUCCGACAUGGAGUCCCAUGACGCAUCAUGCUGAAUCUGAUCAGAACAUAUUGAGAGUUCAAAUGACACUUGCUUGAAUAUGCAGCUUGAGCUACAUCGAAAUGUUGUCAACGUUGAGCGAGUUUCUGUUUUCAUAUUGGUGGUGCUACCUGCUUAGAAGGCCGGUCAGGGUCUUGGUGUUCUAAAUCAUCCUAAUUGAUGGGUGUCGGAUGUGUUAGUAUUAUCAUAGGUGCUCUGAGAUUUGUCUCCAAAUAAAUAAAGCUUUAAUUUAUAAGCAUGGACGUAUAUUC
Molecule: long non-coding RNA, 758 nt
Organism: Oncorhynchus tshawytscha (Chinook salmon)
Lineage: Eukaryota; Metazoa; Chordata; Actinopteri; Salmoniformes; Salmonidae
Source: Ensembl